CCUACGGGAGGCAGCAGUGGGGAAUAUUGCACAAUGGGGGAAACCCUGAUGCAGCGACGCCGCGUGAGUGAAGAAGUAUUUCGGUAUGUAAAGCUCUGUCAGCAGGGAAGAAAAUGACGGUACCUGACCAAGAAGCCACGGCUAACUACGUGCCAGCAGCAGCGGUAAUACGUAGGGGGCAAGCGUUAUCCGGAUUUACUGGGGGGUAAGGGAGCGUAGACGGCAGGGCAAGUCUGGAGUGAAAGGCGGGGGCUCAACCCCCGGACUGCUCUGGAAACUGCCAGGCUGGAGUGCAGGAGAGGUGAGUGGAAUUCCUAGUGUAGCGGUGAAAUGCGUAGAUAUUAGGAGGAACCCCAGUGGCGAAGGCGGCUUACUGGACUGUAACUGACGUUGAGGCUCGAAAGCGUGGGGAGCAAACAGGAUUAGAUACCCUGGUAGUC
RNAcentral lists this ribosomal RNA (440 nucleotides) under uncultured bacterium. RNAcentral describes it as "partial 16S ribosomal RNA". It matches the Rfam family "Bacterial small subunit ribosomal RNA", at positions 338 to 795 of the family's 1533-position model. The record is from RNAcentral.